This 626-nucleotide ribosomal RNA is filed under the name Campylobacter jejuni. Its description in RNAcentral is "partial 23S ribosomal RNA". It matches the Rfam family "Bacterial large subunit ribosomal RNA", at positions 1549 to 2160 of the family's 2925-position model. The record is from RNAcentral. Lineage: Bacteria; Pseudomonadati; Campylobacterota; Epsilonproteobacteria; Campylobacterales; Campylobacteraceae.
GAGAACUGAAAGGCUUUUUGAAGUCUUCGGAUGGAUAGAAGAACCCCUGAUGCCGUCGAGCCAAGAAAAGUUUCUAAGUUUAGCUAAUGUUGCCCGUACCGUAAACCGACACAGGUGGGUGGGAUGAGUAUUCUAAGGCGCGUGGAAGAACUCUCUUUAAGGAACUCUGCAAAAUAGCACCGUAUCUUCGGUAUAAGGUGUGGUUAGCUUCGUACUAGGAUUUACUCCGAAAGCGAAGAAACUUACAACAAAGAGUCCCUCCCGACUGUUUACCAAAAACACAGCACUCUGCUAACUCGUAAGAGGAUGUAUAGGGUGUGACGCCUGCCCGGUGCUCGAAGGUUAAUUGAUGGGGUUAGCAUUAGCGAAGCUCUUGAUCGAAGCCCGAGUAAACGGCGGCCGUAACUAUAACGGUCCUAAGGUAGCGAAAUUCCUUGUCGGUUAAAUACCGACCUGCAUGAAUGGCGUAACGAGAUGGGAGCUGUCUCAAAGAGGGAUCCAGUGAAAUUGUAGUGGAGGUGAAAAUUCCUCCUACCCGCGGCAAGACGGAAAGACCCCGUGGACCUUUACUACAGCUUGACACUGCUACUUGGAUAAGAAUGUGCAGGAUAGGUGGGAGGCUUUGA